GCCAUUUUGAAGUCAAUCGAUAAGGAAUAUUCACAAGUGAACUGAAUUUAUAAUGGAUAAUACAUGAAGCACAUCUGCUGGUACUUUUAAAUGACACAGCAACAGUCCGUGGGUAUUUACUGAUGUAUUGUGUUUUGGACUAAAUGUUUUUAUUUGAUUGGAUCAUCUGGACCUUUGCUAGUGUAACGAGACUGUUGUUGUCGGGAUGUUAUGGAUCAGUGGACUACUAUGAGGCUCCAUAGGCCUUCAGUAUCUGAAGCCAUAAAGUUGGUGGACUGCUUGAGCAUGCUGCGUCUCUAACAGCCAGUGAUUCCUCUUCAAUGACACUUUAAAAUGUUCUGAGACCACACUAUGCGGUCUCACACAGAGGCCUUCUCUGAAAAGGUUACUCGACUAGGUGGCACCUCAUAACUGGAACAUCUGCCACUCAGUCCUGCAAAGCUAUAAAGGAAGUGUUUGACAUGAUUUUUGUCCCUGGAGAUGGUGUCUGCAGGUGAGCUCCAGGUAGAACCCUGUAACCUGGUUGGGUAACCUGGUCAAAUGUCAGUUCUCUGGUGGAGAAAGAGGCUGAGUUAGUGUAUGAGAUGGACUACAUUGCAAAAAUAAAUAAAUAAAUAAAUUGUAUUAUUAAUUAAGUAAUUUAAAAAUGUACUAUUGUUAAAAACGUACUAUUUACUUACUAUUUAUAUUACUUAUUUUUGUUCUUCAAAAAUAACUCAUUACAAAUCUCAGAAGUUUUUAAAGAAUUUUUUUAAAUCCAGCUAAUGACUAUGCUAUAUCAAUCACAUGAGCUCAAUAUCCAAUCAUUAAAGUUUAGCGUCCUAUCAAGUUCAUCAAUGUAUAAAUAAAACUAUAUAUAUAAGUAAUAAAAGCUACUUUUAUCAUGAGAACAUGAAACUAAUUCACACGCUAAUUCAUCAAAAUGUUGACUUUUUUUUAACCUGCCCUUUACAUAAGUUAGGGAAAUGCAGUAUGUGUUAAUUCAAUUCAAUUCAAAUUAAUUUUCAUUUGUAUAGCACUUUUUACAACGGUCAUUGUCUCAAAGCAGCUUUACAGAAAUAUAUAAACACAGGAUACUGAUUUUAGUGUGUGGAUUAAUCCCAAUUGAGCAAGCCGGUGGCGAUGGUGGCAAGGAAAAACUCCCUAAGAUGUUAAGAGGAAAAAACCUUGAGAGGAACCAGACUCAGAAGGGAACCUAUCCUCAUGUUGUAUAUAAAAUAUACAUGAAAUAAACAC
This is a long non-coding RNA of Ictalurus punctatus (channel catfish), 1236 nucleotides long. The record is from Ensembl. Lineage: Eukaryota; Metazoa; Chordata; Actinopteri; Siluriformes; Ictaluridae.